UACAACAAAAUAAUUCGCCAGAGGACUACUAGCAAUAGCUUAAAACUCAAAGGACUUGGCGGUGCUUUAUAUCCCUCUAGAGGAGCCUGUUCUAUAAUCGAUAAACCCCGAUAAACCUCACCACCUUUCGCUAAUUCAGUCUAUAUACCGCCAUCUUCAGCAAACA
This 166-nucleotide ribosomal RNA is filed under the name Canis lupus (wolf). Its description in RNAcentral is "partial 12S ribosomal RNA". Lineage: Eukaryota; Metazoa; Chordata; Mammalia; Carnivora; Canidae. The record is from RNAcentral.